GUCUCUUUGGAGACAUCUGAUAAAAUUGGAACGAUACAGAGAAGAUUAGCAUGGCCCCUGCGCAAGGAUGACACCCACAAAUCGAGAAAUGGUCCAAUAAAAU
Molecule: small nuclear RNA, 103 nt
Organism: Beta vulgaris subsp. vulgaris (sugar beet)
Lineage: Eukaryota; Viridiplantae; Streptophyta; Magnoliopsida; Caryophyllales; Amaranthaceae
Source: Rfam